Molecule: long non-coding RNA, 1824 nt
Organism: Diceros bicornis minor
Lineage: Eukaryota; Metazoa; Chordata; Mammalia; Perissodactyla; Rhinocerotidae
Exons: 2
Source: RefSeq, a predicted model, not a curated record
UGCCAAUCCUUCUCUUUUUUUUUGCAGAGGAAGACUGGCCCUGGGCUAACAUCUGUGCCUAUCUUCCUCCACUUUUUAUGGGAUGCUGCCACAGCAUGGCCUGACACACAGUGCCUCGGUGCAUGCCCGGGAUCCAAACCCGGGCCGCCAGCAGCAGAGCAUGAGCACUUAACAGCUAAGCCACGGGGCCAGCCCCCAAAGCAAGCCUUUCAGACGUAUUGUUUUGAAUGCGAGAGGAGCGGAGUUUCAGGUCCCAUAUAAAAGAAUUUGCUGAUCCCUGCUCUAAACAAUAAAGUUUUUAUUUCAUUCUUAAACGGUAUGUAAAUAACAGCCAAAGCAGCUUAAAGUAGAGCAAUAUGGCUUCUGUGAGAAUUGAAAAUGGAUAUUUUAUUCACAGUAAAUUAGUGAUGACAAAUUUGAUGCAACCUUUUGAUUAGCUCUUUAUUAUAUAUCAAAUUCAGAAUCUGUGACUUUGGUUUACAUCUCACUUUAUCAAUGACUUUACAUAUGCAUGUGGUAAAAUUUCUUAUUGUUAGAGAAAUUUAAAUGAUUGAGGAGAUUUCUAGAACCACAUCAGGAAGAGGUACCUAUUAGAAAAUGAACCCAUUACAACAUUCCUGAAAGAGUAUGAAUAUAAGGAGUAGAUUCUUUCUCAUUCAAGAUUUAUCGAGCACCAAUCUCUUCACUGCAGUUGACAAUAGGGAUGGAGAUUGGGCAGUUUCAGUGGAAGAAAGAGGAGUAAUUUCUUUGUGCCAGAUAGUGUUUAAUUGUUUUAUAUAUAGUAUCUUGUUUGUCUAAGUGCAAGAUGCUGCUUAUACUCUGAACUUGAAAACAACAAAUCAACAACAUAUCAUACACUCCUCCCCAACUUUGUUUAAGAAAACACAUACCAUAAUGAAAAUGAGAAUAUGAGAAGAAGCUAUUCUGUAUUUAUUAUUGUGUGUUUGCUCUAAAUAGAGAAAAAUAAUUAAAAGAAAACAAAACAGAAAGUAUAAUGCUAAUCCAUUUAUGGAAACAGAAUUUUAAAAUGACCCCUAAGAUUCUGGCCUCCUAGGAUAUACACCUUGUAUAAGCCCUUCCCAUGACUGAGGGCAGAAUUUGUGACUAUGAUUGGAUCUCUAUCCCAUAACAAUGCUAUAUCAUACAGCAGAAGAGAUUUUGUAGAUUUAGUUAAGAUCCCAAAUGGGUUGAUUUUGAGUUAAUAUAAAGGGAUUUUCCUAGGCGGGAAUGACCUUAUCAAGUGUGUCCUUAAAAAAGUCCGGACUGUUCCUAAAGAAGAGAUUCAAAGUGUUAAAAAGCCUACAGAAGGGCAUGUGGCAAGGAGCUGUGGGUGGCCUCCCGGACCUGAGAGUACCAAUGAGCAAGAGAAUGGGGGCCUCAGUUCACAAGGAAUAGAAAUAACAACCAUCUGAUUUUUAAAGAGGACCUUGGUUUUCAGAAAUGAAUGCAGCCAACUGACAUCUAGAUUGCAGCCUUGUGGGACCUGGUAAGACACCAGGUAACCCAUGCUCAGAAUUCUGAUACACGGACACUGUGAGAUAAUAAAUGUGCAUAGUUUAAGCUGCUAAGUUUGUGGUAAUUCAUUACAUAGCAACAGAAAAACUAAUACACUAUUGAAAAUGGAAAUAGGCUUUUAUCCAUAUUCUUAAAAUAUUGCUUACCUUUAACUUUCAGUAAUUCUUUGAGAAUUUUUUUGUUGGUAAGACUUAAAAAAUGUAUGCAAGUGGUUAAUGAGCUUUUUAUUAUCCUACAUGAAUCCUAGUUAGUUUUGAGUAUCACGUACAUGCAGAUUUUAUCUUUAAAUAAAGCAAAUGUGAUUGUUGA